UCAGACUUUGCACCUGUGGGUCGACAAAGACACAACAACCACCAACGUCCUGCCGACAGCGAUGAGGCUGAGCGUCGUCUUCACCCUGAUCCUCAGCUUCAGCGGCGGCCGGCCGGCGUCCGUGUUUCUGGAUCCAGAUCGAGCUCACGCCGUCCUGGUGCGAACUCGCAGGUUCAACUCGGGCUGGUUGGAGGAGCUGCAGAAAGGAGAUCUGAAGCGGGAGUGUCUGGAGGAGAGAUGUUCGUACGAGGAGGCGCGGGAGGUGUUCGAACACACGGAGAGCACGGACGAGUUCUGGAAGAGGUACAAUGUCCCUGACACCUGUAAGUCCGACCCGUGUGUGAACGGCGGCAGCUGCUCGGGCCAGGACUCAUCCUACACCUGUUUCUGUUUACCACAAUUCAGCGGACUCAACUGUGAGCUCGAGACGCUGGCCGUCUCCAACACCUGCCUGCUGGAGAACGGAGGCUGCGAACAUUUCUGUGAUGAUGACGAGGAAGGACGAAGAUUAAACUGCUCUUGUGCGGAUGGUUACUUCCUGGAUGUCGAUGGGCGGAGCUGCGUAGCAAGAGAGUCACUCGCCUGCGGCAUGGUGCCCGUCCUCCAGGGGGACACCCAAGCGCCGCUCGACCCUCGAGCUCGAAUCGUCGGAGGGACAGAGUGUCCCCGAGGUGAAUGUCCCUGGCAGGUUUUGCUGAUGUACCAAAAGAAAGGUUUCUGUGGAGGAGUGAUUUAUAAACCCACGUGGAUCCUCACAGCGUCUCACUGUAUGGAGAACAUAGACGUCCAGCUCCUGCAGGUGGUUGCAGGCGAACACAACACAGAGGUGGCUGAGGGCACAGAACAGUUCAUCCAGGUGGUCGAGAUCAUCAUGCACGAGAGAUACGUCCCGCAGACGGCCGACAACGACAUCGCCCUGCUGCGCCUGGCCUCGCCCGUCAUCUACACCCCCCACGCCGUCCCGGCCUGCCUGCCCACGCGCCCGCUGGCCGAGCGCGACCUGUGGGCCGUCGGUCUGCACACGGUGAGCGGCUGGGGGCGGAGGGGCGAGCUCGGGCCCACCUCGCCCGUCCUGCGGCGCCUGCGGGUUCCACGGAUCCGGACGCAGCAGUGUGUGGAGGAGAGCGGCGUGGUCCUCACAGCAAACAUGUUCUGCGCCGGAUACAUCGAGGGCCGCCAGGACUCGUGUAAAGGCGACAGCGGCGGGCCCCUGGUGACCCAGUACAAGAACACAAUGUUCCUGCUGGGAAUCGUCAGCUGGGGGAAGGGCUGCGCCCGGCCGGGGAACUACGGCAUCUACACCCGAGUGUCCAACUACCUGGAGUGGAUCCACAACCGGACAGCGACAGAACCGAGGAACGUCACAGAGGCGUCGCUGCUCGAGGAGCCACAGGGCCUGAGGAGGAACCUCUGAGGAGGAACCUCUGAGGAGGAGCUGGAGGAGGAACCUCUAAGGAGGAGCUGGAGGAGGAACCUCUGAGGAGGAGCCAGAGGAGGAACAUCUGAGGAGGAGCUGGAGGAGGAAUCUCUAAGGAGGAGCCGGAGGAGGAACCUCUGAGGAGGAACCUCUGAGGGCCCAUGACCUCCUGAAGCUGCUUCCAUCACAUAAUCGUUUUCGUCACAUGUGAAGAUUUGAUGUUUUCAAUCAUUUGUCUUAUUCUGGGUUUUAAACGAAUUAUUCAACAUUUUAUAGAAGCUCCUCAAACAACAUGAAUAAAAUCUAAAUAUGCUUUAAUUUGAAUUUAGUUUAAUAAUGACAAAAUUAUCACAGAAAUAUUUUUAUCUUUGUGUGUGUGUGUGUGUGUGUACACAGGGUGUUAUACAGUCCAGUGUUUGAAGUGGUCAUCUCCUCUGAACUGUGACUGUGAACUCUGGACCUUUCAGAAUAAAACACCUUCUAUGAUAUAACUAGUUAAAGUGGUUCUUAAUCUUUUAUAGAAUUUGUAUUGAUCAAGUUGUUUUCCAUGUUAUUAAAACUUUGUUUUUCUUCAACAGUGAAUAAAUGUUUGAAUCAUCUGAUAUUUCAAUGUGAAUAAAAUCCCUCAGUGAGUCCUUCA
Pleuronectes platessa (European plaice) is the source of this 2057-nucleotide RNA transcript. It is a transcript of the gene named coagulation factor VII, with no coding region annotated. The transcript has 9 exons. The record is from RefSeq and is a predicted model, not a curated record. NCBI's taxonomy places the organism in Eukaryota, Metazoa, Chordata, Actinopteri, Pleuronectiformes, Pleuronectidae.